Molecule: ribosomal RNA, 460 nt
Filed under: uncultured bacterium
Lineage: Bacteria
Description: partial 16S ribosomal RNA
Rfam family: Bacterial small subunit ribosomal RNA
Source: RNAcentral
CCUACGGGUGGCAGCAGUGAGGAAUAUUGGUCAAUGGACGAGAGUCUGAACCAGCCAAGUAGCGUGAAGGAUGACUGCCCUAUGGGUUGUAAACUUCUUUUAUAUGGGAAUAAAAUGUUCCACGUGUGGGUUUUUGUAUGUACCAUAUGAAUAAGGAUCGGCUAACUCCGUGCCAGCAGCCGCGGUAAUCCGGAGGAUCCGAGCGUUAUCCGGAUUUAUUGGGUUUAAAGGGAGCGUAGGUGGAUUGUUAAGUCAGUUGUGAAAGUUUGCGGCUCAACCGUAAAAUUGCAGUUGAAACUGGCAGUCUUGAGUACAGUAGAGGUGGGCGGAAUUCGUGGUGUAGCGGUGAAAUGCUUAGAUAGCACGAAGAACUCCGAUUGCGAAGGCAGCUCACUGGACUGCAACUGACACUGAGGCUCGAAAGUGUGGGUAUCAAACAGGAUUAGAUACCCCAGUAGUC